GACGAACGCUGGCGGCGUGCUUAACACAUGCAAGUCGAACGGGAGUAUUGAAGAAGCUUGCUUUAGAGAUACUUUAGUGGCGGACGGGUGAGUAACGCGUGAGGAGCUGUCCAAUGCAGGGGGACAACAGUUGGAAACGACUGCUAAUACCCCAUAAGCCGAGAGGUAAAAGGAUUUAUCCGGCAGAGGAGGUACUCGCGUCCUAUCAGCUAGUAGGUGAGGUAACGGCUCACCUAGGCGAAGACGGGUAGCCGGCCUGAGAGGGCGAACGGCCACACUGGAACUGAGAUACGGUCCAGACUCCUACGGGAGGCAGCAGUGGGAAUAUUGGGCAAGUGGGGGGAACCCUGACCUAGCGACGCCGCGUGGGUGAAGAAAUCCUUCGGGAUG
This 390-nucleotide ribosomal RNA is filed under the name uncultured bacterium. Its description in RNAcentral is "bacterial SSU rRNA". It matches the Rfam family "Bacterial small subunit ribosomal RNA", at positions 28 to 425 of the family's 1533-position model. The record is from RNAcentral.